This 306-nucleotide ribosomal RNA is filed under the name uncultured bacterium. RNAcentral's name for it is "partial 16S ribosomal RNA". It matches the Rfam family "Bacterial small subunit ribosomal RNA", at positions 507 to 807 of the family's 1533-position model. The record is from RNAcentral.
GACAGCAGCAGCCACGGUAAUACGUAGGGUGCAAGCGUUAAUCGGAAUUACUGGGCGUAAAGCGCACGUAGGCGGACUUUUAAGUCAGGGGUGAAAUCCCGGGGCUCAACCCCGGAACUGCCUUUGAUACUGGAAGUCUUGAGUAUGGUAGAGGUGAGUGGAAUUCCGAGUGUAGAGGUGAAAUUCGUAGAUAUUCGGAGGAACACCAGUGGCGAAGGCGGCUCACUGGACCAUUACUGACGCUGAGGUGCGAAAGCGUGGGGAGCAAACAGGAUUAGAUACCCCCGUAGUCCCUGUCUCUUAUAC